GUCCAGACUCCUACGGGAGGCAGCAGUGGGGAAUAUUGCACAAUGGGGGGAACCCUGAUGCAGCGACGCCGCGUAGGUGAAGGAGCACCUCGGUGCGUAAAGCCCUAUCGGCAGGGAAGAAACAGACGGUACCUGACUAAGAAGCCCCGGCUAACCACGUGCCAGCAGCCGCGGUAAUACGUAGGGGGCAAGCGUUAUCCGGAUUCACUGGGUGUAAAGGGAGCGUAGACGGCGACGCAAGGCUGGAGUGAAAGCCCGGGGCCCAACCCCGGGACUGCUCUGGAAACUGCGGCGCUGGAGUACGGGAGGGGCAGGCGGAAUUCCUGGUGUAGCGGUGAAAUGCGUAGAUAUCAGGAGGAACACCGGCGGCGAAGGCGGCCUGCUGGGCUUUUACUGACGCUGAGGCUCGAAAGUGUGGGGAGCAAACAGGAUUAGAUACCCGCGUACU
RNAcentral lists this ribosomal RNA (448 nucleotides) under uncultured bacterium. RNAcentral describes it as "bacterial SSU rRNA". It matches the Rfam family "Bacterial small subunit ribosomal RNA", at positions 329 to 794 of the family's 1533-position model. The record is from RNAcentral.